GUGCUGGUUGAGCCGAGAGAAGGUUAGCAUCUCCCUGCAUAAGGACGGGAAAAGACUCCGGUCUUCAACUCACAUCGUGUUAAGGCUAGUAACACAACUUUUUU
Molecule: non-coding RNA, 104 nt
Filed under: Acanthamoeba castellanii str. Neff
Lineage: Eukaryota; Discosea; Longamoebia; Acanthamoebidae
Source: RNAcentral